CCACAGGCAGCCCUGGAGGUGGAAGCUGGAUGGGGAGUGGGUAAGGGGUGAAGACUUUCUGUGCUGACCAGGUCAUGCAUAGACUAUGAAAAAGGCUGGUUGCUGAGCCAGGGACCUGGCCCUGAUAUAAUGGAGGAUUUUUGCUACAUCUAAAGUGUAUGAUUUCAAUGAACUGGGGAAAAUGUUCACGUGGAAAUGCAGAGCUCAGAAACCACCUGGAAGAAAGCUCAGGGGCUGUGGAAUAAGCUCCAGCCUUCCUUCUCUGUAUCCAACUUCUUCCUAACAGUAUACAAAAGCUCCUUAAGUAGCACUAGAGCUGCUUCUCACCCAUUCUAGGAGAGUGUGGAAAGUCAUGCUACACAGGACAAAUGGACAUUGGCAUUAUGCAUCCAUACCCAGGAAAAUACAAAAAUAUUUCCAUGUUGCUGCUGAAAGAAGGAAACCAAAGGUGGUCAGGCCCAGCUGUGGGUUGCACACUGGAGAUUGUGCAGCCUCUUGCAGAGCCCCAGAGAAGCUGGUGGGGACCUCCCUGGGCUGAUGCGAUUAUUCAUCGAGAGUGCUGCUAACUGUGCUGCUAAACUCCAGGAGGCAAUGAAACUUCUGGGAGUUCAAGUGUCUGCUAAACUUAGCCUGGGAGAGAAAGGGUAAGGGGUGUGAUGCCUCCAUGGUGCCAGGAACAGGAGCAGCUCCAGCCAAAAUACACUCCCUGUAUCUGUGGAAAACCUUCACUACUCUGGGGCUCACUGUGGUCUCAGAAGUCAACACAGGGCUCUGUUUCUCCCAUGGCAUUUGGUGUCCUCACUGCACACUUGUCAGGCUGGCAUGAUGAGGACCAUGCUGGCAGAGUCCUUACUGUUUUCCUCCCCUGCUCGUUAACAAGCCAGCAAUCAGCAGGUGAUAAAGGCCAGCUUAGAGAGUGGACUAGAAAAAAAUUACUUGUGGGAUUGUUUUCUGUUCACAGAAAUUUCCUCAGGUAGCUAUAUAAACUAGGAGGUAAAAAAAAGCAGCAGGGUUUGACAAACUGGAUCCUAAUGAGAACACUCCAAUGGAAAUGCUUCUCAGAAAUGGGAUGGCUCUUAGCAUUCCUUCUCUGGAUGUUGAGUGGGGUAAACCUUUUAUACAGAUGUGAGUAAGGAGAAGUUGAGGUCAUUAAAACACUACAUGUGUUUGAAGUAAGCUAAGGAUUUUAGAACCUUCCCCUUGAAUUUUGCCUUUUUGAUUCUGUCAAUUUGUAUAAAGGGACUGCAAAGAAAAGAAGAAGAAUAUAUAUUUAGAUGGACCUGCAACACUCAAGCAGAAAAGAUUGGGCAGCAUUUUCAGAAAGACUGAGACUCUCAGUGUCCUUUCAGUAUGCUGCUUUACACACACUAGCAUGCUUUGUAGACGACUACAGUGACAGACAACUACAACUGAUGUAGUAAUAGCCCUCAAGAACCUACAGCAUUUGAAAAAAAAAAAAAAAGGGUGUCAGGAGGACAUUCAGGGUUCACUGAA
Long non-coding RNA from Passer domesticus (house sparrow), 1494 nucleotides. RefSeq lists it as uncharacterized. Lineage: Eukaryota; Metazoa; Chordata; Aves; Passeriformes; Passeridae. The record is from RefSeq and is a predicted model, not a curated record. The transcript is spliced from 3 exons.